Molecule: transfer RNA, 74 nt
Filed under: Longispora fulva
Lineage: Bacteria; Bacillati; Actinomycetota; Actinomycetes; Micromonosporales; Micromonosporaceae
Also listed under: 3 other names
Rfam family: tRNA
About the family: Transfer RNA (tRNA) molecules are approximately 80 nucleotides in length.
Source: Rfam by way of RNAcentral
GCCCCUGUAGACCAAUCGGCAGAGUCACGGUGCUCAAACCACCGCCAGUGUGGGUUCGAAUCCCACCGGGGGCA